GGAUUCGUAGCUCAGCUGGUAGAGCAUUUGCUGCGAUUGGACAUGUUGUUUCUGUCGCUGGUUCGAAUCCAGCCGAAGUCCA
This 82-nucleotide transfer RNA is filed under the name Paragonimus skrjabini miyazakii. RNAcentral's name for it is "Paragonimus miyazakii tRNA-Arg". It matches the Rfam family "tRNA". From Rfam's summary of the family: Transfer RNA (tRNA) molecules are approximately 80 nucleotides in length. Their secondary structure includes four short double-helical elements and three loops (D, anti-codon, and T loops). The record is from RNAcentral. Lineage: Eukaryota; Metazoa; Platyhelminthes; Trematoda; Plagiorchiida; Troglotrematidae.